CCUACGGGGGGCACCCAACUGAAUGGAGCCCUACGGGGGGCUGCAGUGGGGAAUCUUAGACAAUGGGCGCAAGCCUGAUCUAGCCAUGCCGCGUGAUCGAUGAAGGCCUUAGGGUUGUAAAGAUCUUUCAGGUGGGAAGAUAAUGACGGUACCACCAGAAGAAGCCCCGGCUAACUCCGUGCCAGCAGCCGCGGUAAUACGGAGGGGGCUAGCGUUAUUCGGAAUUACUGGGCGUAAAGCGCACGUAGGCGGAUCGGAAAGUCAGAGGUGAAAUCCCAGGGCUCAACCCUGGAACUGCCUUUGAAACUCCCGAUCUUGAGGUCGAGAGAGGUGAGUGGAAUUCCGAGUGUAGAGGUGAAAUUCGUAGAUAUUCGGAGGAACACCAGUGGCGAAGGCGGCUCACUGGCUCGAUACUGACGCUGAGGUGCGAAAGCGUGGGGAGCAAACAGGAUUAGAUACCCCAGUAGUC
RNAcentral lists this ribosomal RNA (469 nucleotides) under Clostridioides difficile. RNAcentral's name for it is "bacterial SSU rRNA". It matches the Rfam family "Bacterial small subunit ribosomal RNA", at positions 300 to 795 of the family's 1533-position model. The record is from RNAcentral. Lineage: Bacteria; Bacillati; Bacillota; Clostridia; Peptostreptococcales; Peptostreptococcaceae.